AGUAACGCGUGGGUAACCUGCCUUAUACAGGGGGAUAACAGUCAGAAAUGACUGCUAAUACCGCAUAAGCGCACAGCACCGCAUGGUACAGUGUGAAAAACUCCGGUGGUGUGAGAUGGAUCCGCGUCUGAUUAGCCAGUUGGCGGGGUAACGGCCCACCAAAGCGACGAUCAGUAGCCGACCUGAGAGGGUGACCGGCCACAUUGGGACUGAGACACGGCCCAA
Molecule: ribosomal RNA, 225 nt
Filed under: uncultured bacterium
Lineage: Bacteria
Description: partial 16S ribosomal RNA
Rfam family: Bacterial small subunit ribosomal RNA
Source: RNAcentral